Mesocricetus auratus (golden hamster) is the source of this 2160-nucleotide long non-coding RNA. RefSeq lists it as uncharacterized. The transcript has 3 exons. The record is from RefSeq and is a predicted model, not a curated record. Lineage: Eukaryota; Metazoa; Chordata; Mammalia; Rodentia; Cricetidae.
ACCAUGUGGGUCCUGGCAUAUCCAUCUCAUGCUGUCAGGCUUGGCAGCAAGUUCCUUUCUCUGUUGAGCCAUCCUGCUAAACUGACAAAUCCAUUUUGCACACCACAUCCACUCCUGCUUUAAGCACACGAAUCCUUAAGAACAGAGACCUCCUGUGUUGUUCAUCUCUUGAAGGAUUAGAUGUGCAAUGCAGGAGCUUUAGAAGACUCCUUCAAACCAUCCAAAGCAGCACCUACGUGCUCAGUAUAUAGUUGUCAUCCUAGGACAUCUGUCACAUGAUCCAUAAAGCAUGAUCUCACCCAGCUUCGUCUAAAACACCCAGGUUUGGAAGGUGGAAGAGGUGUGACAAAGUGGAGAUGAACACAUGGCUUGAUCCAGCCUUCUACGGAAAUACAAUACAAACGGAACUGAAGUGUGGCCCUGCAGAUAAUAUCACUCCUGAUCUUUCAAAUGGUUUCCCAGAUCCCGCCUGAGGGAUGCAGUGGGCAGACAAGGCACAAGUGACAAGAACUCCUCCACCUCCGGUGCUUACGAGCCAAGGGAUUCAUCCUGACUGAUGAAAUGGGAGCUGAAGUGGCCCACGUGGGACUUCACAGCGCCUCCCUCUCCUUCCAUGACCCCUCCCUGGUCUUGUGUUUCCAUCAAGGCAACUGUGACCUGAUGGAGAUUUCGGUAGCCCAGCCCUUCCGCAGCUGGGUGGAGCAGAUUUGCUGAUUCCAUGGAGCACCUUGUGUGAGCAAGAAACAAAAGACUGUGCUGUUUUGUCCUGUGAACAAGAACUUUCGGGAAGAAACUGUGUCUCCAAAGACUGAUGGACUGAUUAGAACGUCAGUGUUGCAGCCAGCUUGCUUCCUGGACACCUAUCCCUUGCCUACCUCGAUUUUGGAAUUAACAUCUUGUAACUAACAGAUAAAAACUGUUGGGGCUGGGCGGAGGUGGCACACAUUUUUAAUCCCAGCAUUCAGGAAGCAGAGGCAGGUGGAUCUCUGUGAGUUCAAGGCCAGUCUGGUCUCCAAAGAGAGUUCCAGGACAGUCGCCAAACCUACAGAGAAACCCUGUCUCAAAAACAACAGAAACUGUUGGGAAGCUACACUCAACCGUACUCCUCCCAUUCCAGAUCUUGCCCCUGAGAAAGCCGACCACUGGCGGCUCCUCCCCAGGAGAUGCUCAAGACCAUGCCUACAAGCUAUUUAAGGCACGCUCCCCCUGCCCCAUACACAUGGUUUUCUCCCCACCACCACCAUCCAGGAGUUGUUUUAAUCAUUAAACCUAGACUUCUAAUUCAGUCUAAUCUGAUUCAUCGAAUCAGCAGAGAGACUUAAUAUCCGGAUAGAGAAACCUUUCAAAACCCUUUGGAAUUUAACAGCCAAAAAACUAAGAAUCUCAUCAGAGAGACUAUGGCGCCUAUAGGAGAUCCGUCAUUUUUUGUUGUUGUUGUUUUGUUUUGAAACAAGAUCUCAUUGUGUAGAGUUUUGUAGGUAGACCAGGGUGGCCUUGAAGUCACAAAGAUAUACCUCCUAAGGCUGCCCAGGCCCAGGGACUAAAAGUGUGCACCACCAUGCUCUGCUUGAGACUUGCUUUUUUCUCUCCCAUAUGUAUUGGUGUUUUGCCUCCAUGUAUGUCUGUGUGAGGAUGUUGGAUCUCCUAGAACUGGAGUUACAGGCAGUCAGCUGCCCUGUGUGUGCUGGGAACUGAACCGGGGUACUUGGGAAGGGCGAUCAGUACUCUUAAUAACUGAGCCAUCUCUCCAGCCCAGAAAUCCACCAUCUUGCUGUCAUGACUUCCCUGAUGUAGUCACAGUAGUGGUUUGAAAGAAAAUGGCCUCCAAAGGGAGUGGCACUAUUGGAAAGUGUGGCCCUGUUAGAGGAAGUGUGUCACUGUGGAGGCGGGCUUUGAGGGCUCAGAUUUGUAAAUUUGUUCGAGUCAUGCCCAGUGUCUCAGACCACUUCCUGUUGCCUGUGAUUCACGAGGGAAGAACUCUCCGCUCCUUCGCUAGCACCAGGCUCCCCCUCCAUGAUGCUAAUGGGCUGAAGCUCUGGAUUGUAAGUGAGCCACUGCAAUUAAAUGUUUCCCUUUAUAAGAGUCGCUGGGGUCAUGGUGUCCCUUCACAACAAUAGAAACACUAAGACAUCCACCAAUAAAAGUUUUAAAUUGCCUUAA